GUCAAUUAGAGCAAUGAUAUUUCUCUAUUGGUAAGCAGUAGUGAGAGUUUCAAUGCGAUUUGGUAAGCUGAAUUAACUCCAAAUUGCUUUACCAGGCACCUUUUCUGGCACCGUCCACCGGUGGCUUUGCCUUGAAUCCACUUCAUAUAAAAAAUUUAGUACUGCAGAGAACAAAGACUGUUUUUCCUGGUUAUUACUGCCAGCUUUUGUCCUUCUGGGAGCAAGGAGACAUCGAGUUUCCAAGCUGUGUGCUGUCUCCAGAUGUACUCUCUGGACCAUGUGGUGUUGCACACUGAUUGAGCAGAAUUUGUUCAGGAAAAUAACUCUAGUCAAGGAAAGGAAUUUUCGCUGCUGGACACUAUUGAUAAUUGAGCUUAACACAUCAUUGACAAGUUCACGCGACGCCGCAGCUCCUUUCUCUUGUUGGAUUGGAUCGUCUUUUCGGAGUCAGGGGGAGAGAGAUGCUUAGGCUGCCGCCGGGUGCAUCCGCAAUGCCAUCACAUAUGCUCGCGGCGGGAAGUCAAUUCACCAAGGACGCCGUCUCCUUCUCUCCCUGACUCCCUAUGCAUUGUGAUCUUGUCUGCCGUCAGGUGUUCAGUUCUUGAGUUGCUCUGAAGUACCUCCGCAAAGAGGUGACCGGAGGAAGGCAACCAGGAGAGAUUUGCUUGACAAGAUGACCAAAGCUAUAGUGAGAAGGAUGCCCAUCUCUGUUGCUAGGGAAACCUAAGGCCGCAUGAACCGGUGCAAGCUGCCAAGUUUGCAUCAGAGGCUGGUGUUAUCGUUAGGUCUCAAGUUCUUACCUUGACCCAUUGGAAUCAAUACAUGGAACGGACUGAGCAUUUUGAUGGCUUCAUGGGAAGGCUAUCUGUUAGAGUAUAUUAGGGAUAUCUCUAUAUUAUGUAGAUUAGGAUUGUAUCCGUAUCCUACCAUAUCUGUAGGAGAGGCUCCUUGCCCUUCAAGUCAUGUACCCCUAUAUAUUCAGCCACAAGACUCAAACUAAUACAAUCAUCCAUUUUUAAACCAAUUCUAUUCUCCUACAUGGUAUCACGAGUUUAGGUCUAAGAUCCUUGGCCACAAACCGUAAUCUUCCGCUGCCCCUCGACGCGCCCCUGUUCCUCGCGCACCGCCUGUCGUUCUCCACGGCGCGCUUCCUGCACGCCCCUUCGACAGCCUCCUAGCGCGCCCCCGGGGAGAUCACCCAUGUCGAUCUCCGCCGGGGGCGGCGCCUUCUUCGAUCUCCGCGAUGGAUCCCGUUAGUCCUUCGCCCCCAUAGCAUCUAGCAGCAGCAGAUUGCGAAGUACCUCAUCAUCCGCCAUGGAAGCCGUUGACGACGACCCCGACCUGUGCUGCCAUGGUGCCAGCCGCAGUCCCCCGAGGACGCUUGUGACCCACCUCGUGCUGCCGUGGCAGCCGCAGGGGUACCACGUGGCGCCCUCACCUCGUCGCCAGCGGAAUACGUGGUGGCGCUCCCUACUG
Long non-coding RNA from Panicum virgatum (switchgrass), 1476 nucleotides. RefSeq lists it as uncharacterized. The record is from RefSeq and is a predicted model, not a curated record. The transcript has 4 exons. NCBI's taxonomy places the organism in Eukaryota, Viridiplantae, Streptophyta, Magnoliopsida, Poales, Poaceae.